UAUAAUCUGGCACCUUCGGUGUCCGAGUUGUAAUCUCUAGAAGUGUUUUCCGCGUUGGACCGCACACAAGUCUGUUGGAAUACAGCGGCAUAGUGGUGAGACCCCCGUAUAUGGUGCGGACGCCCAACGCUUUGUGAUACACUUUCGAAGAGUCGAGUUGUUUGGGAAUGCAGCUCAAAUUGGGUGGUAAAUUCCAUCUAAAGCUAAAUAUUGGCGAGAGACCGAUAGCGAACAAGUACCGUGAGGGAAAGAUGAAAAGCACUUUGGAAAGAGAGUUAACAGUACGUGAAAUUGUUGGAAGGGAAACGCUUGAAGUCAGACUUGCUUGCCGAGCAAUCGGUUUGCAGGCCAGCAUCAGUUUUCCGGGGUGGAUAAUGGUAGAGAGAAGGUAGCAGUUUCGGCUGUGUUAUAGCUCUCUGCUGGAUACACCUUGGGGGACUGAGGAACGCAGUGUGCCUUACGGCGGAUUUCUCGAGAUCUUCACACUUAGGAUGCUGGUGGAAUGGCUUUAAACGACCCGUCUUGAAACACGGACCA
RNAcentral lists this ribosomal RNA (537 nucleotides) under Rhodotorula taiwanensis. Its description in RNAcentral is "partial large subunit ribosomal RNA". It matches the Rfam family "Eukaryotic large subunit ribosomal RNA", at positions 116 to 668 of the family's 3401-position model. The record is from RNAcentral. Lineage: Eukaryota; Fungi; Basidiomycota; Microbotryomycetes; Sporidiobolales; Sporidiobolaceae.